UACGGGGGGGGCAAGCGUUGUUCGGAAUUACUGGGCGUAAAGGGCUCGUAGGUGGCCAACUAAGUCGGACGUGAAAUCCCUCAGCUUAACUGGGGAACUGCGUCCGAUACUGGAUGGCUUGAGUUUGGGAGAGGGAUGCGGAAUUCCAGGUGUAGCGGUGAAAUGCGUAGAUAUCUGGAGGAACACCGGUGGCGAAGGCGGCAUCCUGGACCAACAUUGACACUGAGACCCGAAAGCGUGGGGAUCAAACAGG
This 253-nucleotide ribosomal RNA is filed under the name uncultured bacterium. RNAcentral's name for it is "partial 16S ribosomal RNA". It matches the Rfam family "Bacterial small subunit ribosomal RNA", at positions 524 to 776 of the family's 1533-position model. The record is from RNAcentral.